UACGUAGGGUGCAAGCGUUAUCCGGAAUUAUUGGGCGUAAAGAGCUCGCAGGCGGUUUGUCGCGUCUGCUGUGAAAACCCGAGGCUCAACCUCGGGCCUGCAGUGGGUACGGGCAGACUAGGGUGCGGUAGGGGAGAUUGGAAUUCCUGGUGUAGCGGUGGAAUGCGCAGAUAUCAGGAGGAACACCGAUGGCGAAGGCAGAUCUCUGGGCCGUAACUGACGCUGAGGAGCGAAAGCAUGGGGAGCGAACAGG
This 253-nucleotide ribosomal RNA is filed under the name uncultured bacterium. Its description in RNAcentral is "partial 16S ribosomal RNA". It matches the Rfam family "Bacterial small subunit ribosomal RNA", at positions 524 to 776 of the family's 1533-position model. The record is from RNAcentral.